CAGAGUUGAAAGACUCCCAAUACCAUCGCGAACGUUACCCUUAAACCGUUGCUUCGGCGGGCGGGUCGCCUUCAAACGCCUCCCCCCCCGGCCCCCUCUUCGCGGGGCGCCCGCCGGAGGUCACACAAACUCUUGAUACCCGUACGGCCUCUCUGAGUAUUCUGUACUGAAUAAGUCA
This 178-nucleotide unclassified non-coding RNA is filed under the name uncultured Sordariales. RNAcentral's name for it is "sequence contains ITS1". The record is from RNAcentral. Lineage: Eukaryota; Fungi; Ascomycota; Sordariomycetes; Sordariales.